Long non-coding RNA from Lates calcarifer (barramundi perch), 546 nucleotides. RefSeq lists it as uncharacterized. The transcript has 3 exons. Lineage: Eukaryota; Metazoa; Chordata; Actinopteri; Centropomidae. The record is from RefSeq and is a predicted model, not a curated record.
GUUUUUCAGGCUCAGAUGUUUCCUAAGUGAUGCUAAACCCUGGAACAGCUGUGUUGAAGUAAACAACGGUGGCCCUGAGGACCAAAACACUUCACUAACACAUAUGACACUUCAGGUUUUGCCAAGGUUGGGACAACACUUGGGGUUGUGGGUAGGUGUGCUUAGCACAAUGAGACGGCGUGACGGUCAAAAAUGUAUCAUCUGAUCAUCUUCACAGCCCCUCUGCCCUGGUUACCCAUCAUCCUCUUCACUCCCAUUAGGUGAAGCUGAGUGGGACCGGCUCCUCAGUGAGGGUCCUCAUCAAAUCACAGCAAUUCUCCGUCAAUCUCAAACUAAAGGUGACGUCCAGUUAUCAGAGUCAAAGGGCAGAAGAUGGACCGUCUUCCACAGGUCACCCUGAUAAUCCUUCAUUUCUUUAUCAGUCAGUGCAGAGGUCCCUUUGCGUUUUUUCAAUUCACACUCAAGGACAUUUCUCACAUUUUUCAGAAUGUAAAGUGACUUGGGGCCCAAAAUGAAAAGGUUAUAAUUUUUAAAUAAAUCCUGAAA